CCUCGGCGCUGACCCCGCCCCUCGCCGCGCCGGCCCCGCCCUCCCGCCUGUCCCUCCUCCCUCCCGCCCGCCCCGGGCCCGGCCCCGGCCCGGCCCCGCUAAGUUUUGCAAGCGCUUGGGCUGCGCGUGGCCACCCGCAUGUUACCCUAGGUGUCCUGACUCCGAGGGGCCGCCGAGCGGGGCGAAGGGUUCAGCCUUUCGAUCUCUCGUCGCCUCCCGGGUCUGGCCGCGGGGAUCUUCUAACAGCCUGGGCUCUGUUAUCUGCUUCCUUUUGUCCCUCUCAUUUCUGCCUUUGCUUCCACACCCAGCGAGAUGCAGCGCCCAGACCAAAACUUGAGUUCUUUACUCAAACUACAAAGUGAGUUUACUACCGAGAGAGAAAAAGUUAAAAUAAAGGGCCAAAUCUUAUGAGAAAAUUGUAGUAUAUUUUUAGUAGCGAGUGUGGAAUACCAGUGCUUCUCAAACUUUAAUAUGCAUCCGGCACACUUGACGAUCUUGUUAAAAUACUGACUCUGGUUCAGUAGAUCUGGCAUGGAGCCUGAGAUUCUGCAUUUUUAACAACAUCGUGGCUGAUUCCAAGGCUGAUGAUCCGGGAGCCACAGUUGUGAUAACAAAGCCUCAGAGAAAUCAAGUUUUAAGCCCCAAGUCCUGCAGUGAAUGAGCAGCAGAGCUGCAGCUCAUCUCAGUCCUGUGGAUCGCACCAUGGCCUGGAAGGAAAAGUUUAGGGCAAUAUAACCCUCUACAAACAACCUUCUGAGAGCAGGACAAGUGUUUUCACAAAGCUUCAUGGAAUGUCAAAGUGCAGGAACAAAACACUUCAGCUGGAAAAAUAACGCAUAGCCAGAAAUCAACCCCAAUCCUACCAGAAAUAAUGAUGCCAGGAAACAGAGCUACAUACACAAAAGGGAAUGUGUACCAGGAUACACAUAAUAAAGUCACCUUGGCAAAGCUGGUAUCCUCCUGGCUAAGCCAGAGGAGUGAUUCAACUUAAGAGAGAAUUGGAAGGAGGACAUGUGCCCUAGCUAGUCCAUCUGAAGAAGUGUGCCAACCCACCCUGCAAUGUUCAAGUCCCUGCCUUAUCAUCAUAAGCCUGAUCAUAGCAAAAAUAUGGAGUGGUUACAAUGAAAAUUUCCAAGGUAGAAAAAGAUCAGGCAGUGGUAAUACUAGAAGCUGGCUGCAUAGGCCAGAGGCUCAAAUCUCACAGUGCAGGGCCAAAGAAGACAAAGUUGAAGUCGAUACUGAUGUGGGCCAGUUGGCUUUGCACUAAGGAGGAAAAAAGUUCUAUGGUCACUGGCUAGAACCUUCAUCCCACUCAGUCAUCCUGCCAAUGCUGGUGUUUGGGGUUAAAAAGGGAUUGGGAAAGAGUGUGGAAGACCUAUUGCCAGUGUUGACAAGCAGGGCUGACAUUCAGACAGAGCACACCAAUAGGGACAGCCAACUGUCGAAUAAUAAAACACCUCCGGACCAGUUGGGGGCUGAUCCCCCUGGGUGCCUCCCAUAUCACCCCAGCUGCCCCUGGAGCUCCCUGAUGCAGUGACCAUUUAGGAUUAAAGCCUCAUGCAACUAGUUGA
Molecule: long non-coding RNA, 1571 nt
Organism: Symphalangus syndactylus (siamang)
Lineage: Eukaryota; Metazoa; Chordata; Mammalia; Primates; Hylobatidae
Source: RefSeq, a predicted model, not a curated record